This 422-nucleotide ribosomal RNA is filed under the name uncultured bacterium. RNAcentral's name for it is "bacterial SSU rRNA". It matches the Rfam family "Bacterial small subunit ribosomal RNA", at positions 355 to 775 of the family's 1533-position model. The record is from RNAcentral.
UGGGGAAUAUUGGACAAUGGGCGGAAGCCUGAUCCAGCAACGCCGCGUGAGGGAUGACGGCCUUCGGGUUGUAAACCUCUUUCAGUACCGACGAAGUUUCAUUCUUUUGGGUGGGGUGACGGUAGGUACAGAAGAAGCACCGGCCAACUACGUGCCAGCAGCCGCGGUAAUACGUAGGGUGCGAGCGUUGUCCGGAAUUAUUGGGCGUAAAGGGCUCGUAGGCGGUUUGUUGCGUCGGGAGUGAAAACAUCCAGCUUAACUGGGUGCUUGCUUUCGAUACGGGCAGACUUGAGGUAUGCAGGGGAGAAUGGAAUUCCUGGUGUAGCGGUGAAAUGCGCAGAUAUCAGGAGGAACACCGGUGGCGAAGGCGGUUCUCUGGGCAUUACCUGACGCUGAGGAGCGAAAGUGUGGGGAGCGAACAG